RNAcentral lists this ribosomal RNA (440 nucleotides) under uncultured bacterium. RNAcentral describes it as "partial 16S ribosomal RNA". It matches the Rfam family "Bacterial small subunit ribosomal RNA", at positions 339 to 795 of the family's 1533-position model. The record is from RNAcentral.
CUACGGGUUGCACCAGUAGGGAAUAUUGGACAAUGGGCGAAAGCCUGAUCCAGCAACACCGCGUGCACGAUGACGGCCUUCGGGUUGUAAAGUGCUUUUAGAGGAGAUGAGAAAGGACAGUAUCCUCUGAAUAAGCCUCGGCGAACUACGUGCCAGCAGCCGCGGUAAAACGUAGGAGGCAAGCGUUAUCCGGAUUUAUUGGGCGUAAAGCGCGUGCAGGCGGUCUAGCAAGUUGGAUGUGAAAGCUCCCGGCUCAACUGGGAGAGGUCGUUAAAUACUGUUAGACUAGAGAAUAGGAGAGGGAGGUGGAAUUCCGGGUGUAGUGGUGAAAUGCGUAGAUAUCCGGAGGAACACCAGUGGCGAAAGCGGCCUCCUGGACUAUUUCUGACGCUAAGACGCGAAAGCUAGGGUAGCAAACGGGAUUAGAUACCCCUGUAGUC